RNAcentral lists this ribosomal RNA (141 nucleotides) under uncultured Clostridium sp. RNAcentral describes it as "partial 16S ribosomal RNA". It matches the Rfam family "Bacterial small subunit ribosomal RNA", at positions 355 to 513 of the family's 1533-position model. The record is from RNAcentral. Lineage: Bacteria; Bacillati; Bacillota; Clostridia; Eubacteriales; Clostridiaceae.
UGGGGAAUAUUGCACAAUGGGCGAAAGCCUGAUGCAGCAACGCCGCGUGAGUGGUGACGGCCUUCGGGUUGUAAAACUCUGUCUUCAGGGACGAUAAUGACGGUACCUGAGGAGGAAGCCACGGCUAACUACGUAUCAUCG